This 235-nucleotide ribosomal RNA is filed under the name uncultured Actinomycetales bacterium. Its description in RNAcentral is "partial 16S ribosomal RNA". It matches the Rfam family "Bacterial small subunit ribosomal RNA", at positions 97 to 334 of the family's 1533-position model. The record is from RNAcentral. Lineage: Bacteria; Bacillati; Actinomycetota; Actinomycetes; Actinomycetales.
GGCGAACGGGUGAGUAACACGUGGGUAAUCUGCCCUGCACUCUGGGAUAAGCCUGGGAAACUGGGUCUAAUACUGGAUAUGACCUUUCUCCUUAUGGGGCUUGGUGGAAAGUUUUUCGGUGUAGGAUGAGCCCGCGGCCUAUCAGCUUGUUGGUGGGGUGAUGGCCUACCAAGGCGACGACGGGUAGCCGGCCUGAGAGGGUGAUCGGCCACAUUGGGACUGAGAUACGGCCCAG